GAUGAACGCUGGCGGCGUGCCUAAUACAUGCAAGUCGAGCGAACAGACUAGUCGCUUGCUCCUCUGACGUUAGCGGCGGACGGGUGAUUAACACGUGGAUAACCUACCUGUAAGAAUUGGAUAACUUCGGGAAAACGGCGCUAAUACCGGAUAAUAUAUUAAACCGCAUGGUUCAAUAGUGAACGGCGGUUUUGCUGUCACUUAUAGAUGGAUCCGCGCCGCAUUAGCUAGUUGGGAAGGUAACGGCCUACCAAGGCAACGAUGCGUAGCCGACCGGAGAGGGGGAUCGGCCACAUGGGAACGGGGACAGGGUCCAGACGCCUACGGGAGGCAGCAGUAGGGAAUCGGACGCAAUGGGCGAAAGCAUGACGGAGCAAGGGGGCGUGAGAGAUGACGGUCUUCGGAUCGGAAAACUCGGUUAUGAGGGAAGAACAAAUUUGUAAGGAAAUAUGGACGUAGUGACGGUACCUAAUCAGAAAGCCACGGCUAACUACGUG
RNAcentral lists this ribosomal RNA (497 nucleotides) under uncultured bacterium. RNAcentral describes it as "partial 16S ribosomal RNA". It matches the Rfam family "Bacterial small subunit ribosomal RNA", at positions 28 to 507 of the family's 1533-position model. The record is from RNAcentral.